AACGAACGCUGGCGGCAGGCUUAACACAUGCAAGUCGAACGAUGUAGCAAUACAUAGUGGCGCACGGGUGAGUAACGCGUGGGAAUAUACCUUAUAGUGGGGAAUAACGUUGGGAAACUAACGCUAAUACCGCAUACGCCCGAGAGGGGAAAGAUUUAUCGCUAUAAGAUUAGCCCGCGUGAGAUUAGGUAGUUGGUGGGGUAAUGGCCUACCAAGCCUACGAUCUCUAGCUGGUCUGAGAGGAUGAUCAGCCACACUGGAACUGAGACACGGUCCAGACUCCUACGGGAGGCAGCAGUGGGGAAUAUUGGGCAAUGGAGGAAACUCUGACCCAGCCAUGCCGCGUGAAUGAUGAAGGCCUUAGGGUUGUAAAGUUCUUUCGCCGAUGAAGAUAAUGACGGUAGUCGGAGAAGAAGCCCCGGCUAACUUCGUGCCAGCCGCCGCGGUAA
Molecule: ribosomal RNA, 449 nt
Filed under: uncultured bacterium
Lineage: Bacteria
Description: partial 16S ribosomal RNA
Rfam family: Bacterial small subunit ribosomal RNA
Source: RNAcentral